This 253-nucleotide ribosomal RNA is filed under the name uncultured bacterium. RNAcentral describes it as "partial 16S ribosomal RNA". It matches the Rfam family "Bacterial small subunit ribosomal RNA", at positions 524 to 776 of the family's 1533-position model. The record is from RNAcentral.
GACGAAGGGGGCUAGCGUUGUUCGGAAUUACUGGGCGUAAAGCGCGUGUAGGCGGUUGUCCAAGUUGGAUGUGAAAUCCUUGAGCUCAACUCAAGAAAUGCAUUCAGGACUGGAUGACUAGAGGACCGGAGAGGAUAGUGGAAUUCCCAGUGUAGUGGUGAAAUACGUAGAGAUUGGGAAGAACACCAGUGGCGAAGGCGGCUAUCUGGACGGUUUCUGACGCUAAGACGCGAAAGCGUGGGGAGCAAACAGG